Molecule: non-coding RNA, 46 nt
Filed under: Schistosoma mansoni
Lineage: Eukaryota; Metazoa; Platyhelminthes; Trematoda; Strigeidida; Schistosomatidae
Source: RNAcentral
GUACUGCUGAGGAGUCCCACAAUAGGACGAAACGGCCGUCCAGUGU